RNAcentral lists this long non-coding RNA (319 nucleotides) under Panax ginseng (ginseng). RNAcentral describes it as "long non-coding RNA (PGIN_LNC017928)". The record is from RNAcentral. Lineage: Eukaryota; Viridiplantae; Streptophyta; Magnoliopsida; Apiales; Araliaceae.
UCAUUAAAACCUAGUUGAUAAAAAUUCAUUAGGAUAAAAAUCGUAACUAAGGAAAAGGAGUAUAGUCUCCAUCUCAAAAAGAAUUCAUUAUUUAUUAAUGUAAUAUUGUGAUAAAUCUUUGAGUCGACGCAUUCCGAUCUUAUUCCAAAGUUUUGCAAACGUUGCAUUUAGUAGUGACUUUGUGAGUAAGUCGACUAAAUUACACCUGAUCGAAUUUGACGCACAUCUAUAGAACCCUUCUUUUGCAGCUCGUGUGUAGAAAAAUUUAGAUGAAAUGUGUUUUGUUCUAUCUCCCUUAAUGUAUCCUCCUCUAAGUUGA